UCAAAAUCCGGGGGUGGGGGGGGGUACGAGCCGUACUUAUUGCAUUUUUUACUAAACUUAUACUUUAACCCCUCGGUCCAAACUUAUUUGUUUUAUUAGAAAAAAAAAAUACCGUAGCUUUAUGUGCAAAAAUAUCAGUCCUAUUUCUUUACGCUGAUUUUAUAUGAUUUUUUUUCUAUCGAAAUUUUGAGAAUCUCAAUAAUUCUCUUGGUAUACCUCGCGUGUAGCAAACGUGCUCCACAAUUUCGCUUCGCUCGCUUCGCUCGCAAAGCUCAAUUGCUUGGCAAAAAUUGAAGUAAUUUGUACAAUUAUAACGCGCCGAGCUGUGUUUUAUUUUAUUGUUUCUAAGAAGAUGUAAGAAUACAAUAUUAUCAAUUUUAAUUGGUUUUAUCCAAAUCAAGAUUGUGUACAAUGGGAGUGAGUGAUGUAAUCUUCUAAUGCGUGUGGUGAAAAGAAGGCGAAUCCGUUAUUGUUUUUCUGCCCAAAUUUGAAGCUAUUUAAUAAAUCUUGAUAAAGUUAAAAAACUGUUUUGA
This is a long non-coding RNA of Hydractinia symbiolongicarpus, 533 nucleotides long. RefSeq lists it as uncharacterized. The transcript has 2 exons. NCBI's taxonomy places the organism in Eukaryota, Metazoa, Cnidaria, Hydrozoa, Anthoathecata, Hydractiniidae. The record is from RefSeq and is a predicted model, not a curated record.